RNAcentral lists this ribosomal RNA (112 nucleotides) under uncultured Ligilactobacillus sp. The record is from RNAcentral. Lineage: Bacteria; Bacillati; Bacillota; Bacilli; Lactobacillales; Lactobacillaceae.
CGGCGAUUAUUGCACAAAGGCUACACCUGUUCCCAUGCCGAACACAGAAGUUAAGCUUUGUCACGCCGAUAGUAGUUGGGGGAUCGCCCCCUGUGAGGGUAGGUCGUUGCCG